GCCUCCUUAUUUUCUCAACCUAAAUGAUGCAUCAGACAUGUCACUUCAAGCCCUGAGCAUGCUGAGUACCAUGAAAGAAACCGCAUGUCUCAGUAGAAAGUUGGGAGAACCUGAGCCUGAAGUUGGGCGAGACGUGGAGCCUGAAUGUCUUCAUUUGUUAAUUGGGGAUAAAAGUACCAACACCAGAGACUCAUUGUGAGUGUUCUUUGAGAUCAGACGUAAGUUCUUAGCACAAGAUCAGUGGUCAAUCACAUUAAUAAAGCAUCAGGACAAAAGCUGGUUAUUUUAAUUCUCUGCAGUUCAAAGCCAGAAUUAGGACAAGACUGCCUUAGGAGAGUUAAAGGGGCAACAGACAAGCUGUAGGAUUCUAAAAUGGCUCUUUAAAGAGAUCAGUAGUGCCCAGGAUAGAAAGAAAAAAAAUGCUGCUAAGACAGAUGAAAUCCCUCUGCAGAGCUCUGUCCCCAGGAGGUGGGAUGGCCACUGCCCCAGCAGGCAGCGUGAGCUAGACGGUCAGAGUCCAAUUCCCACUAUGUCUGCCAGGCAAAUACUUGCCCAAGGACUGCUUAAAAAUAGCAUCAGACGCCACCCACCACCGAAGGUCAGUUUCCAGGAAGGUAGGGUGAGCGGGUGGAAGGUACUGCGCAAGAGGCUCCACACCUGCCCCCGUGGACCCAGAGCUUAAUUUUCAUUUGGUGAUUCCAAUAUGCUGGCAAGGUGAAGAAGCUAGCUGAUCAGCUACAAACAAGGCCCCUGAUUCUAUUCUCACUUAGCACAACCUGAAGAGCAGCUUUUCACUGGAGAAAAGAUUUGUUUGGGGGAAAAAAGAAGUGUUAUAGCAUGGAGUCAGCCACCUCUUCAGUCCCUAACCAUGGGACUGCCCUUUAAUCUCUUUUGCUGGAACAGAAGAAAAGAAAUAGUUCCAUGGUAUAGCACGGUAUGAGACUCAUGAAAGGGGUCCCAGAAAGUGGCGUGAUCAGAGUAUUAAAGGCUACGAAGAGGUCAGAGUGGGUGAGGAUCCUGAAUGACAGCAGAUUUUCGUGUCUUGCAGAAAUAGAAAUAUCCGCCUAACAAAGAGGAAGGGAUCGACGGUGCCUGUUUUCCUCUAGUUGUUGAAAAUGGAUGAAGGUUUUUAUUGGGCUAUGUGGAACCCUCUUCCUGACAGAUGGAACCAAGUAAAUUCUUAAAAGUGGCAACGCUGAGAUGAAGCUUAUGAAUAUUUUCAAGGCUUUUGAAAAAACACAGGGAACUUUCCUCCUGAAAGCUUGUACCAACACCUACACUGCAGCGUAUGAGAAUACCUGUCCCACCAUGCCUUUACUGUCCAUGUGCUGCUAUCAAUACAUAUCAAUUAGGAAAAAUGGGUGAUUCCCUAGGGACAACUCAGACCAAGAGAAAGGAAUUAGGUUCCAGCUCUGAGAUUUAGCUUAAAGAGGAAAAAAGCAAAGCAACAAAGAACAAAAUUCUUAUCCCCUUGGGCUGCCCCAAAGGAAUUGGACCAGAAGUCCAUACAGGGGGCAUCUAUUUGAAGCCUCCUGGGUCAUUAUUUCACAAAUCUUCCUUUGCACAAUGGACUUUUUUCUCCUCUUACUCGCAUGCUCAUAAACUCUUAAAUUACAUUUACCUUUACUGGGAUAUAAAGGUCAGAUGUAAUUUACCUAAUAGAACCAACUGAUGGAAAUCUAUACAGAGGAAGAGAUAGGCUCCAAAAGCUAAGAACAUUUUGUCCCUGCCUCUGUGCUGCUCUCAGCAUGUUUUAAAUAUGACCCAGCAUUUGUUAACGGAUACCACAUGUCACCAUCUUUAAAUGACCUUAUCCAUCUUAUCACCACAAUUUCAAACUAAGAAAAAAAACCUCCAUCACCAAAUGAUCCUGAAUGGUCCUGUGUGUCAUGUCAGCCAUCAGCAGCGUUGACGUGGUCAGUAAUUCUUGUAGAUAAUUUAUCAUUUACCAGAUUAUACGGAAAAUAAAAAUCUCUUGAAAAACAUCUCUCUCAAUGUUUGUUUUCGUGGCUCUCGCUAUAACAGUAGUGAAAAGAGAGAAAUUAUUUGAUUAAUUUGGUC
Long non-coding RNA from Equus caballus (horse), 2061 nucleotides. Lineage: Eukaryota; Metazoa; Chordata; Mammalia; Perissodactyla; Equidae. The record is from Ensembl.